Molecule: ribosomal RNA, 253 nt
Filed under: uncultured bacterium
Lineage: Bacteria
Description: partial 16S ribosomal RNA
Rfam family: Bacterial small subunit ribosomal RNA
Source: RNAcentral
UACGUAGGGUGCAAGCGUUAAUCGGAAUUACUGGGCGUAAAGCGCACGCAGGCGGUCUGUCAAGUCAGAUGUGAAAUCCCCGGGCUUAACCUGGGAACUGCAUUUGAAACUGGCAGGCUUGAGUCUCGUAGAGGGGGGUAGAAUUCCAGGUGUAGCGGUGAAAUGCGUAGAGAUCUGGAGGAAUACCGGUGGCGAAGGCGGCCCCCUGGACGAAGACUGACGCUCAGGUGCGAAAGCGUGGGGAGCAAACAGG